GAUGAAGAACGUAGCGAAAUGUGAUAAGUAAUGUGAAUUGCAGAAUUCAGUGAAUCAUCGAAUCUUUGAACGCACAUUGCGCCCGCCAGUAUUCUGGCGGGCAUGCCUGUUCGAGCGUCAUUUCAACCAUCAAGCCCUGCUUGCGUUGGGGUCCUGCGGCUGCCCGCAGGCCCUGAAAACCAGUGGCGGGCUCGCUAGUCACACCGAGCGCAGUAAUACAUCUCGCUUUGGGCGUGCGGCGGGUUCUUGCCGUUAAACACCCCCUUUUUACCAAGGUUGACCUCGGAUCAGGUAGGAAUACCCGCUGAACUUAAGCAUAUCAAUAAGCGGAGGA
Molecule: unclassified non-coding RNA, 334 nt
Filed under: soil metagenome
Description: partial contains 5.8S ribosomal RNA, internal transcribed spacer 2, and large subunit ribosomal RNA
Rfam family: 5.8S ribosomal RNA (bases 1-120)
Source: RNAcentral